RNAcentral lists this ribosomal RNA (206 nucleotides) under Escherichia coli. RNAcentral describes it as "partial 16S ribosomal RNA". It matches the Rfam family "Bacterial small subunit ribosomal RNA", at positions 591 to 796 of the family's 1533-position model. Lineage: Bacteria; Pseudomonadati; Pseudomonadota; Gammaproteobacteria; Enterobacterales; Enterobacteriaceae. The record is from RNAcentral.
GAUGUGAAAUCCCCGGGCUCAACCUGGGAAUUGCAUUGGAGACUGCAAGGCUAGAAUCUGGCAGAGGGUGGUGGAAUUUCCUGUGUAGCGGUGAAAUGCGUAGAUAUAGGAAGGAACACCAGUGGCGAAGGCGACCACCUGGACUGAUACUGACACUGAGGUGCGAAAGCGUGGGGAGCAAACAGGAUUAGAAACCCCAGUAGUCC